GACUAUUGGCUCGUGUGGAUGCAUCACAUGUGGCCUUAGGGAUCAGAUUGUAGAUAGAUGGUUCUUACAUCUGGAGUGUCUGAUAAGACGAACGGAGAGCACAGUGGCGAGGAACGUGGAUCAGGCUACCAACAGAGAGAUGAAGAAAAGGGAUUCAGUACGCCAACUGCAAUGUUAUUUGACAGGGUGUGGUUUUGGAAUGGAAUGGCUUUUUCCUUGUUGACUUCUAUAGAAGCGUUGGAGCCCAGUGCCCUUAAGUCUCAGGAAGCGUGCCGUUAGUUCUCUCUAAACUUUGUAGCUUCACUUUUCCUCCACCAGAGGGCGACAUCCAUAUACCACUCUGUACACACACACACACACACACACACACACACACACACACACACACACACACACACACACACACACACACACACACACACACACACACACACACACACACACACACACACACACACACACACAGUAUGAGGUUUUGUUGGAAUGUACCCUCUUUCUUUCAACAUAUAAAGCCACUAACUAUGA
This is a long non-coding RNA of Oncorhynchus keta (chum salmon), 525 nucleotides long. RefSeq lists it as uncharacterized. The record is from RefSeq and is a predicted model, not a curated record. The transcript has 2 exons. Lineage: Eukaryota; Metazoa; Chordata; Actinopteri; Salmoniformes; Salmonidae.